UUUCUUAUUUACUUUAUUAUGCAUGCAGCAUUGCCUCAUUAACCUAGCAGUUCCGCCUAGAUAGCGAUCAUCACAUGCCCAGAGACUACCUCACCGAGGGAGAAAUUAUCGCUCACCGGUAUUUAUAGUAGGCAUAUUGACCUAGGUUGUAAACUCAUGGUUUUAAUUUAAGCUAACUUGAAUUUCACUCUAUAUGUUACUCGCAAUAAAAUAUGAAGAAAAAUAAAAUAAAUAUGAAGAAAAAUAAAGAGUAAAGGGUUUUAUUUAUUUUACAAAGAUAUAGUUUGAGCCGCGGUGCAUUCUGGGAAACAUACGACGGGAUUCCGACAGUUGUUAAGCCUUGUUUCCAUUGAGCAAUCCGGUUCGGUCCUGUCCUGUCCCGAUCCGAAUACUCGUUGUGUCCGGAAUUAUUCUUUUUUAAGUUUCACACUCUAAACAGAGGGGUCCAAAGUCCGCUAUCACGAGAGUAAACCGCAUCGUGCGAAGAAGCUAUUUUCUUCCCUUUGGUGCGCUCUGAACCGCAGAUGUUUACAUUUAAAUAUGGUCGCUAUGUGGUUCCCGGACCAGGACCGACCGAAACCCACGGCCCAGACAUCUCAAGGCCACCGCGGGAUCCGGAGAGGCCUGCAAUGACGAGUUGGCGCGCAUUUUCUGCUGUGGGACAGUCAUCCGGAUUGGACCAAAGUGGAGUUCGGUCUCCCUGGUGCUUACAGCUUUGGAGGGUCUCUGGUGUUCCAGCAGGAGUCGGUCGUCACCUCAUCAUCUCAGCUGUUCAGCAUUGAAGCUCUGCAGCUUCCAGUGUUCAUCGACAGAUCGUUGCCUACCUUUGGAAUCCUUCAACCAUGAGAACCAACAACCAACCAUCCCUGGACCUCUCUGCUUAGCUGACUCACAGCCACAGACUCGGUUCUACCUGCUCACCGUGUCCUCCAGCUCCAGAAGGACAAAGGAACGCCGCUCACCUCCCCAUGUUUCCAGCACUUGGGUCCUUCUGGCCUCGUGAAACCAUGACAGCUACUUCAACAUGUAAUGUGAUAACCAAAUCUUCCAUUAAUGCUGAUGCUGGCAGGUGUUUUAUUGUGGAGGUCAGUGAUUUAUUCUUCAUUUUCUUUAAGGUGUUGCUGUAACUGAAUCAGUCAUUGCUAUCAUACAAAACUCCAUCAGAGCAGAAGGAGUGAAGUCAUUGUUUCCUUAAUCUUUAGUCUUUUCAUGAGAACCAAACAGUCUGGAGUCUUUUCUUAU
Molecule: RNA transcript, 1242 nt
Organism: Oryzias melastigma (Indian medaka)
Lineage: Eukaryota; Metazoa; Chordata; Actinopteri; Beloniformes; Adrianichthyidae
Exons: 5
Source: RefSeq, a predicted model, not a curated record